GUCGGCUCAGCCAAUAAGAUGUUUCUCGGCUCUCUGCCGAUGAUGGCUUGUCGUGUUAUAAUCAUUACCUCUGUUAGUGUGUUUUGAUAGAGUUGUACAGACUGCUAUUGAAGGAGCUGAGAGAACUACACAUGGCAACUCGUAUCAGACCUAGCAACAAGCGGUGCACCGUCAUCGGAGGGUCUGGAUUUCUCGGCAGACACCUUGUGGAGCAUUUAUUGGACAAAGGAUACGCAGUGGCUGUGUUUGAUAUCAGACAGACCUAUGAUCGUCCAGGAGUGACAUUUCACCAAGGGGACCUGUGUGACAAACAGGCUUUGCUUGUGGCUUUGAAAGAUGUGUCUAUAGUAUUUCACUGUGCCUCACCUGCACCAGCCAGUGAUGACCGUGCACUGUUUCAGAGGGUCAAUAUUGAUGGCACACGGACUGUUAUACAGGCCUGCCAUGAGGCAGGAGUGCAGAAAUUAGUACUGACCAGCAGUGCAAGUGUGGUGUUUGAAGGAACUGACAUCAAGAAUGGGAAAGAGGAUUUGCCAUAUGCGAAAAAGCCAAUAGAUUAUUAUACAGAAACCAAAAUCCAGCAGGAAAAGUUGGUGUUGGAGGCGUGCAGUAAAGAGAAGGGUUUCCUCACUGUUGCUAUCCGUCCGCAUGGCAUCUUUGGUCCCCGGGACCCUCAGUUAGUACCCAUCCUGGUAGACACGGCCCGCAGAGGAAAAAUGAAGUUCAUUAUCGGAGAUGGAUCCAAUCUUGUGGACUUUACCUUUGUGGAGAAUGUAGUUCAUGGGCAUAUUUUAGCGGCUGAACGCCUGAAGCCUGAUUCUCCGCUCUGUGGUCAGGCUUACCACAUAACCAAUGAUGAGCCAGUGCGUUUCUGGGAUUUCAUGUCUCAGAUUCUGGUGGGUUUGGGCUACAGCGCCCCACGGUACCACCUGCCUUACAUGCUGGUGUAUGGAAUCGCCUUGCUGCUGUGGCUGAUCGCCUUCAUACUGCGGCCCCUGAUCCAGAUCAAACCAACCUUCACCCCCAUGCGAGUAGCUCUGGCUGGCACCUACCACUACUACAGCUGUGCCCGUGCCAAGCAGGACAUGGGUUACCAGCCCGUGGUGCCUUUACAAGAGGCGAUAGCACGCACUGUAGAGAGCUAUCCACAUCUAAGGAAUGGAGCAUAAUACCACAGUAAAUACUUUUUUCUUGCAUGCUGAGACUGGAGUUUUUACUGACGUGUUUACUUUGUGCUGAACUGUAGUAUAAGCCUUAGAUUACAAGUGUUUAUUUUAUAGGUUGCAUUAACAAUGCACUUAAUCAUUCCUAUAAAUUAAAUGUAAAUUUUCACCAACAAAUGUUGGGUUCAGAUGGCAAGAUAUUUGUGACUUGCCCCUUUGGAUCGAAAGAAUUCAAACUUUAUGAAACUCUAUUCAAGUCUAACUCCGUAUACAUUUUAAUUCAAAUAUCUAAUGGUAUCACAUUCCUUUUUUGGUUAGGGUUUGGGUACAACUCUGUUGUACCUUCGUCUUUUUGUUACAAUUUUCAAAUUCUUUUUUGCUUUAAAUCAAACCUUGAAUUCUUCCCUAUGGAAAAAAAUAAAUGGGGGAAAAAUAAUUUUGGAACCAAGACAGCGGAAAAAGUGGGCGGGCUUUGUUGUGGUCUAUUGGUUAAAGGAAUAUUCUGGGUUCAACACAAGUUAAGCUCAGUCGACAGCAUUUGUGACAAUGUUGAUUACAACAAAAAUAAUUUUGACUCGUCCCUUUCUUUAAAAAAAGCAAACAAUAUAAGUUACAGUGAGACCCUUACAAUGGAAAUGAAUGAGGACACUUUGGAGGGUUUAAAGGCAGAAAUGUUUAGAAUUUUUUUUAUAAAAGCACUUACAUUAAUUCCUCUGUUAAAUCUUGUGUGAGCUGUAAAGUUGUUUAAAUGGUUGUUUUUCCGGUUGUUUUAGGGCUUACAGCAUUACGUCAUCAUUGCAACAAAGUUGUAAAAUUGGAUAUAACUUUACAGAGAAAAGGUUAGCAAGCGAUUUUAUCACACUAAAAUCAUUUUAACAUGCAUAUUAUUAACAUCUUGUGGCUUUUGAAAUGGUAUGUUAAUGUUUACAAAUUGGCCUCAUUCACUUCCAUUGUAAGUGCCUCACUGUAACCCAGAUUUUAUUUUCUUUUUUUUUUUCUCCCCAAUUUGGAAUUCCCUAUGCGCUCUAAGUCCUCGUGGUGGUGUAGUGAUUCGCCUCAAUCCGGGUGGCGGAGGACGAGUCUCAGUUGCCUCCUCGUCUGAGACAGUAAAUCCGCGCAUCUUAUCACGUGGCUUGUUGAGCGUGUUACCGCAGAGACAUAGCUCGUGUGGAGGCUUCGAGCUAUUCUCCAUGGCAUCCACGCACAACUCCCCACACGCCCCACUGAGAGCGAGAACCACAUUGUAGUGCCUCUACCCUCCCUAGCAACCGGGCCAAUUUGGUUGCUUAGGAGACCUGGCUGGUGUCACUUGGCACGCCCUGGAUUCGAACUCGCAACUUUAGGGGUGGUAGUCAGUGUCUUUACUUACUGAGCUACCCAGGCCCCCCGAUUUUAUAUUUUCGUAAAGGAAGGAGGGACAAGUUGAAAUUAAUUUUUGUGAUAAUCAGCAUUAUGCCUCAAAUGGUGUCGAUUGAGCUUAACUUGUAUUUAACCCUGAAUAUUCCUUUAAUAUUGUUCCUGCCCACAUGCCCUAAGUGAUGUCAGCAGAAAAAAAAUGUUGGUUUAGAGGUGGAGCAAGUUGUUACUUUUUGAUUAAAGAUUACAAAGUUAAAAACAACAAGACCACGAAUGUGUAUUACAAACCUAAUUGGGGUCAAAUUUGAUUUCACAUUCACUUAAAAGUCACCUUUUGGUGGUUGUAUUAUGACAUAAUCUAUUUCAGCAUCAACAAAAAGACCAGUUUGCGUAGAAUGUCAGUGAAUUAAAUCAUCAUGAUGUCACACCUUUUAAGUAAUUUUAAUUGUAAAAGAGUAAUAAUGGGAAGGACAUACACACUCUUACUUAUGGAGCAUUUUCUCUGUCCAUUUCCAAUUCUCUAUCACCCAUAUUUCAUGACAAAUCACAUCAGUCACAUAUGCAUAUAACUUUCAUUUCACACUAGUAAUCCUUCAGCGAUACAUUAUAAAAAAUGACAGCAAUGUUUCCCCAAUGAUACAUUUUUACAAUUCCUCCAGCAGGCGUUGGAUGGGAGGUGGGGGUGUUGUUCAGAUAGCUGACAUUCCCCACGCAAAGAUAUGAAUCACUAUGACUCAGUCGUCAAACCUGAUUCUUUCCUGUUGCAGUAGGUGUUACCCACUAUGAAACUACAUCGGGCCUGUUGGUUCUCUCUCGAGACGCGCUCACAGGGGUGUGAAUGCAUCUUUUGGCAGCAGAAUGCUGGUCAUUGGGUUAGUGAGUAUCCUAGAGACUGCACACACCCUAUUUGUUGUAAACAAGAGUGUGUGAGACAGUUUUACACUGUGGUUUGGAUUGGUGCCUCCGUGUUCAUUUAUGGACACUUGACUCAGCCGUUCACCUUGACUGAACACUGGGUUACCGUUGACACACGUUUAUCUAAGCAGUUAGCUGUAGGCUGUCCUUACUUUGGAAAGUCUACAAUUUGAGAGUUGUUUUUGUUUCAGUAUCAGCGGUCUUUAAUAUUUAAACUAUUUUUUUUAGUCCUGAUUUAUUAAUUUAUUCAAAAAAACAAUAAAAAUGAAGUUCAAACAGACAAUGUCUUGGAUAAACCUAAUGAACAUUUAUGAAUUAAAAUGUGUGUGUGUGUGUGUGUGUGUGUUAUACAGUUUUUCCCAAGUCCUGACAUUAAAUCAUAGAAAACAUUCCCUGUCUUAGGUCAGUUAGGAUCACUACUUUAUUUUAAGAAUGUGAAAUGUCAGAAUAAUAGUAGAGAGAAUUAUUUAUUUCAGCUUUUAUUUCUUUCAUCACAUUCCCAGUGGGUCAGAAGUUUACAUACACUUUGUUAGUAUUUGGUAGCAUUGCCUUUAAAUUGUUUAAUUUGGGUCAAACAUUUUAGGUAGCCUUCCACAAGCUUCUCACAAUAAGUUGCUGGAAUUUUGGCCCAUUCCUCCAGACAGAACUGGUGUAACUGAGUCAGGUUUGUAGGCCUCCUUGCUCACACAUGCUUUUUCAGUUCUGCCCACAAAUUUUCUCUCAGAUUGAGGUCAGGGCUUUGUGAUGGCCACUCCAAUACCUUGACUUUGUUGUCCUUAAGCCAUUUUGCCACAACUUUGGAGGUAUACUUGAGGUCAUUGUCCAUUUGGAAGACCCAUUUGCGACCGAGCUUUAACUUCCUGGCUGAGGUCUUGAGAUGUUCCUUCAAUAUAUCCACAUAAUUUUCCUUCCUCAUGAUGCCAUCUAUUUUGUGAAGUGCACCAGUCCCUCCUGCAGCAAAGCACCUUCACAACAUGAUUCUGCCACCCCCAUGCUUCACGGUUGGGAUGGUGUUCUUCGGCUUGCAAACCUCACCCUUUUUCCUCCAAACAUAAUGGUCAUUAUGGCCAAACAGUUAAAUUUUUGUUUCAUCAGACCAAAGGAAAUUUCUCCGAAAAGUAAUAUCUUUGUCCCCAUGUGCACUUGCAAACUGUAGUCUGGCUUUUUUAUGGCAGUUUUGGAGCAGUGGCUUCUUACUUGCUGAGCAGCCUUUCAGGUUAUGUCGAUAUAGGACUCGUUUUACUGUAGAUAUAGAUACUUGUCUACCUGUUUCCCCAGCAUCUUCACAAGAUCUUUUGCUGUUGUUCUGGGAUUGAUUUUUACUUUCGCACCAAACUAAGUUCAUCUCUAGGAGACAGAAUGCAUCACCUUCCUGAGCGGUAUGAUGGCUGCGUGGUCCCAUGGUGUUUAUAUUGGCGUACUAUUGUUUUUACAGAUGAAUGUGGUACCUUCAGGCAUUUGGAAAUUGCUCCCAGGGAUGAACCAGACUUGUGGGGGUCCACAAUUGUUUUUUUUCUGAGGUCUUGGCUGAUUUCUUUUGAUUUUCCCAUGAUGUCAAGCAAAGAGGCACUGAGUUUGAAGGUAGGCCUUAAAAUACAUUCACAGGUACACCUCCAGUUCAGUACACCUCCUAUCAGAAGCUAAUUGCCUAAAGGCUUGACAUCAUUUUCUGGAAUUUUCCAAGCUGUUUAAAGGCACAGUUAACUUGGUGUAUGUAAACUUCUGACCCACUGGAAUUGUGAUAGUCAAUUAAAAGUGAAACAAUCUGUCUGUAAACAAUUGUUGGAAAAAUUAAUCAUGUCAUGCACAAAGUAGAUGUCCUAAAUGACUUGCCAAAACUAUAGUUUGCUAAUAUGAAAUCUGUGGAGUGGUUAAAAAAUGAGUUUUAAUGACUUCAACCUAAGUGUGUGUAAACUUCUGACUUCAACUGUACAUACAUAGACUUUUUAUUGAAAGAAUUGUCAGUAGUGUAACCCACUUGAGAUCAUAACUAAGACAAAAGUUCUUAGGAAAAAGGCUGUAAUUCUUGUAAAAUAUAUACAUUCAUUUAUUUGUUUAAAUUGAAAGAAAAGAAAAAGUGAAGUUUUGUUUUUAUAUAUAUAGAUAUAAAAUCCACAAUUUUUCAAUGUGGUGUAACUAACAUGCAGGAAGCCAUUUUGUUGAAAAUAUCAUAGUUAGAUUUUUUUUGUUUUGUUAUUACUGAAUUACAAGAUUAUUUUAGGUUUUUAAAUGGUAAAACAAAGACAAAUUCAUGAUAUUCAUGCUUCAAAAAUGCAAUAAAUAUUUAAAAAUAUUUUUUGUUUGUGUGUUUACCUUGGAAGAAUUAUGUUUGAAAAAUAAUCUUUAAGAUACACACACAUUGUAUCCCCCCCUAAAAAAUCUCAUGAAAUCAACAUGAAUUCAAAGAAUACAUUUUCAAGGACUUGGAACAUGUAUUUUGAUUUAGAUUUUUAAACAACUUUUCAUGAUCUCUGACAUCCUUAUUUGUCAUUUUGCCCCAAAACAAACAUUGCAAACUGCUGCAUUUUCUACUGCAAAUUAUAUUAAACACAUCCAAAUGAAUUUCCACUGUACCCUGUGCUUAUUAAAGGGCCCAAGCAGUUGUACUGUUGUAGCUAUAUUGGAUCAGUCCCACAGGAAUGCAUUAUGAGCUUUGCACUGUCCCUCUGGACGCUGUUCUCUGAGCAGUUUCUGUCUUUAAAUCAUGUUGAUUUGUUUUGUUAGACAGGCAGGGAACCCUGAUCUCGAUUCAGCCAGUUUAGAUGUGGUGUGACAUCACCUCCAGUUAUUGUUUUCUGUAGCUUUGACUAUGUGCAGCAAUGCAUCUGAAUUCAACAAAUAAAGGGAAGAGAUGAAUACACUUCCCAUUCAACCCAAAACAUGAAGUAACACACACACACACACACAGGUACACACCUAUGUUUGGUUGGCCAGGCCUCCCCGACUGGCUGGGCAGGUCUGUGCCCACACCCGUACUUGCUCGCUCAAGGAGAUAGCUGUCAGUGCACACCUUUCCUCAACGUGUUUAUUGACUAAGAGCUCAAUCCAUCAGGUGAAAUUUCAGAACACUUCAGUGCACCUGUGAUCGUACCUUGAUACUACAGCUAAUCAGGUUACUUUUGAAGCAGUUUUCUGACAGGAGUUCUGCUAACAAUGUCCAGUGG
Molecule: RNA transcript, 6598 nt
Organism: Myxocyprinus asiaticus (Chinese sucker)
Lineage: Eukaryota; Metazoa; Chordata; Actinopteri; Cypriniformes; Catostomidae
Gene name: cell surface glycoprotein 1-like
Exons: 9
Source: RefSeq, a predicted model, not a curated record